RNAcentral lists this microRNA (22 nucleotides) under Caenorhabditis elegans. RNAcentral describes it as "cel-miR-4805-3p". Lineage: Eukaryota; Metazoa; Nematoda; Chromadorea; Rhabditida; Rhabditidae. The record is from miRBase by way of RNAcentral.
AAAUUUUGAGAUUUUCCGCACA